RNAcentral lists this non-coding RNA (25 nucleotides) under Cricetulus griseus (Chinese hamster). The record is from RNAcentral. Lineage: Eukaryota; Metazoa; Chordata; Mammalia; Rodentia; Cricetidae.
GGUAGAACAUGAAGCAGAGAGAGUG